Long non-coding RNA from Perca fluviatilis (European perch), 1723 nucleotides. RefSeq lists it as uncharacterized. NCBI's taxonomy places the organism in Eukaryota, Metazoa, Chordata, Actinopteri, Perciformes, Percidae. The record is from RefSeq and is a predicted model, not a curated record. The transcript is spliced from 3 exons.
CAUGCUGCCAAUAAAAUUACAGACAAACAUGUCUACUUUGAGAACCACAAGAUGAGGGUGUCCCUGGCUGCACAGACACUGAGUCGCUCCGUGUCAGUGGCUCUCCGCGCAAUGAGGGAUCUUGGGUACUUUCAGUUUAAGGACUGUGAGGCAACGGCAGAAUUCAUUGAGAUUAUUGACAGGCUCUUUGAUACAAUGAAUGAAUCCUCGUGCCAAAGGAUUCAAAGCUCCCUUGGGUGCUCUGAAUUGGAUGGAGAGGAAAGCAUUUUUGUCAAGAGCCAGGGAGUACUUGCUCACUUUGGUGACAAAAGAUGGAACACCCCUUCACCGAUCUAAGAGGUCUAUUAUAUUAGUGCUUGUUGAGUUCAUGACAUGAGUUCAACGAUACUCUGUUCCCCCUAUGCAUCAAGUUCCUAAGAUGCUCCGUUCUGUUAUGCAUCAAGUUCCUAAGAUGCUCCGUUCUGUUAUGCAUCGAGUUCCUAAGAUGCUCCAGUUCUGUUAUGCAUCGAGUUCCUAAGAUGCUCCAGUUCUGUUAUGCAUCGAGUUCCUAAGAUGCUCCAGUUCCUAAGAUGCUCCGUUCUGUUAUGCAUCGAGUUCCUAAGAUGCUCCUAACUAAGUUUUGUUUAUGUCUGAAUUAUCUUGUAUUCAGUGUGUUUUUCAGGUCCUAGAUGCUAUCUUGUCCUAUGUCCUAUGAUGUUAUCUUGUUUAAAUGUUUUUCAAUAUGCAGUUUUGUUUUUGUUGGAAUUAUCUUGUAUUCAGUGUGUUUCAGGUCCUAGAUGUUUCUAAAUGGUAUGUAUUACACAACAUCAAGUACAUGUAGGUGUCAAAAUGGUAGGUAUUGGUAGGUAUUGCAUGUGUUCCCAAGUUCUCCCAGUUCUGCAAUUACAUUGUUCCAAGUUAUUGUUCCAUUGUUUACAAGUAUACUGUAUAAGUUAAACAAGAAACUGAUCCCAUUCCUAAAAACAUGGAUGCAAACUAAUUAUCUAUCCGCCCGGGUAGCUGUUUACCAUUUUCAUUCUCUGUGAGUUUGCACUCCUGUGAUAGGCACUCAAGAAUGGGUGAUUACACAUUACCGAUGGACGUGAUGGAAAAUUUACUUUACUGCUUUGAAUGAACAAAAUCACAUGGUGCUUUCUUGGGGUGUCUUGUUUCGCCGUGAUCAGAGUAAUAAAACUUUUUUUCUUUUGCAGGUACUUGUCGGUCAUCGGAUUUGUCAUCAAUAUUGACACGUUGAUGCUGAUGAUUCCUGAACUGCUUCAAGUUCAGCGGUAUGUGCUCACCUACAGCUUCAGCCAGGAUCACUUGGAGCUCCUAUUUAAUUCAAUCAGAGCAUCAGGUGGCUGAAAUAACAAUCCAUCGGCACGCCAGUUCCAGGCCAUUUUCCGCCGUCUGAUGGUUCGGUGUGGUGUCUCACCUGGUGAGACGGGCAAUGUGGCAGCCCAAGAUAACACUGUGUCCCUGUCUGCUGUGGAAUGUCCUCUCCUGAAACUGCUGAAGAACACCCAUCUCCUUUCGCCAACAUUUCGGCCCUUGUGUGUGACCCCAGUUAUCUCCCCACUCGGUUUGGUGGUCUGGUGGAAAAUGCUCUGGUCUACAUAGCAGGGUUUGUAGUCUGGCAGAUUCUACGAAAGCUGUCCUGUGAUGUGUGCCGUGCGAGCUUGGUCAGAGAUGCUGUACCAUCUUCAUUUGACAAGAGCUACCACCUUCUAACCCUGAAAAACAA